This 103-nucleotide ribosomal RNA is filed under the name Bacteroidia bacterium. The record is from RNAcentral. Lineage: Bacteria; Pseudomonadati; Bacteroidota; Bacteroidia.
GGUGGUUAUAGCGUUGGGGUUCCACCUCUUCCCAUUCCGAACAGAGAAGUUAAGCCCAACCACGCCGAUGGUACUGCAUAGAGUGGGAGAGUAGGUAACUGCC